UACGGAGGAGGCAAGCGUUAUCCGGAAUGAUUGGGCGUAAAGCGUCCGCAGGUGGCUGUGUAAGUCUGCUGUCAAAGAGCGAAGCUCAACUUCGUAAAGGCAGUGGAAACUACACGGCUAGAGUGCGUUCGGGGCAGAGGGAAUUCCUGGUGUAGCGGUGAAAUGCGUAGAGAUCAGGAAGAACACCGGUGGCGAAGGCGCUCUGCUAGGCCGCAACUGACACUGAGGGACGAAAGCUAGGGGAGCGAAUGGG
This 253-nucleotide ribosomal RNA is filed under the name uncultured bacterium. RNAcentral's name for it is "partial 16S ribosomal RNA". It matches the Rfam family "Bacterial small subunit ribosomal RNA", at positions 524 to 776 of the family's 1533-position model. The record is from RNAcentral.